Molecule: ribosomal RNA, 303 nt
Filed under: Leptocylindrus danicus
Lineage: Eukaryota; Bacillariophyta; Leptocylindrophyceae; Leptocylindrales; Leptocylindraceae
Description: partial Bacterial small subunit ribosomal RNA
Rfam family: Bacterial small subunit ribosomal RNA
Source: RNAcentral
UAAGUCCCGCAACGAGCGCAACCCCUAUUUUUAGUUGCCUUUAUGGAACUCUAGAAAGACUGCUGGUUAUAAACCGGAGGAAGGCGGGGAUGACGUCAAGUCAGCAUGCCCCUUACACCCUGGGCUACACACGUGCUACAUUGGGCGAGACAAUGAGACGCAAAUCUGUGAAGACUAGCUAAUCUAUAAACUCGUUCUAAGUUCGGAUUGUAGGCUGCAACUCGCCUACAUGAAGUUGGAAUCGCUAGUAAUCGCUGGUCAGCUACACAGCGGUGAAUCCGUUCCCGGGCCUUGUACACACCG